RNAcentral lists this ribosomal RNA (853 nucleotides) under Ascomycota sp. C23. RNAcentral describes it as "eukaryotic LSU rRNA". It matches the Rfam family "Eukaryotic large subunit ribosomal RNA", at positions 85 to 945 of the family's 3401-position model. The record is from RNAcentral. Lineage: Eukaryota; Fungi; Ascomycota.
AACGGCGAGUGAAGCGGCAAGAGACUCAAAUUUGAAAUCUGGCCCCCCCCCGGGGGUCCGAGUUGUAAUUUGGAGAGGAUGCUUCGGGUUCGGUCCCGGUCCAAGUGCCCUGGGACGGGCCGUCGGAGAGGGUGAGAAUCCCGUCUGCGACCGGUGACUGGGCCUGGGUGAAGCUCCCUCGACGAGUCGAGUUGUUUGGGAAUGCAGCUCUAAAUGGGUGGUAAAUUUCAUCUAAAGCUAAAUAUGGGCCGGAGACCGAUAGCGCACAAGUAGAGUGAUCGAAAGAUGAAAAGCACUUUGGAAAGAGAGUCAAACAGCACGUGAAAUUGUUGAAAGGGAAGCGCUUGCGAUCAGACUCGCCCGGGGAGGUUCAGCCGGCACUUGUGCCGGUGCAUUCCUACCCGGGCGGGCCAGCGUCGGUUCGGACGGCCUGUCAAAGGCCCCCGGAAGGUAGCGCCCUUCGGGGCGUCUUAUAGCCGGGGGUGUCAUGCGGCCUGUCCGGACCGAGGAACGCGCCUUUGGGCUCGGACGCUGGCGUAAUGGUCGUAAGCGGCCCGUCUUGAAACACGGACCAAGGAGUCUAACAUCCACGCGAGUGUUCGGGUGUCCAAAACCCGUCCGCGCAGUGAAAGCGAACGGAGGUGGGAACCCCCUUGUGGGGUGCACCAUCGACCGAUCCUGAUGUCUUCGGAUGGAUUUGAGUAGGAGCGUGGCUGUUGGGACCCGAAAGAUGGUGAACUAUGCCUGAAUAGGGCGAAGCCAGAGGAAACUCUGGUGGAGGCUCGCAGCGGUUCUGACGUGCAAAUCGAUCGUCAAAUUUGGGUAUAGGGGCGAAAGACUAAUCGAACCAUCU